CAGUACUCUCAUGAUGGUUUUCUCGAAAUGGUAGUAUAACCAUUGUCUGCUGUGGGCUAUUGGAAUGUCCCCCAGACCCCCGCUAACACUUUUCCUUCACAAAACUUCUACCUCUCCAGACUUACAUGGUCCUUUUAGGAAAAGGAUAAUAAAAUCGUCUUCUACGUAGUAGGUAUUUGCAGAGAACAUAGUACCUGGAACAUCCCCCAGCGAGGGAAGGAAGUUUCGAUGACAUAAGACUCAGUGCUCUCACGAUGUCUUUCUGGAAAUGGCACCAUCGCCGUGUGCCGGAGGGGGUUAAGUGUUCCUAGGAAUGAAAAUUUUUAUUGGAAUUUGUUUUUAAUCUCCAGCAGUGGUCCCCAAACUAUGGUCCGCGGACCCAAACCGAUCUGCUAGCAUCACCAAUUCGCCCCCUUUCUAUACAAACAAGAGAUGGCACUGGCACUAGCAACUUUGCAUCAUUCCAAUUGGCUGCUAGGGAGGUCUGGAGGAAAUUGAGGAGCAAUUAACAUGGUUGAAAAGUUUGGAGACCCCUGUCCUAGAGAAUCUUCUUGGAUUCUCUGUCCUUUUAAAGGUUUUGCACAGGAAAUGCUCAUCAAGAAAUAAUACACUGUACAUAUAAUGUAUUUACUAGUGAUGCAAUACUAAUCCUAAACACUUACACCUUUUAUGUAAGUCCCAACACGUUACUCGGUUAAACUUGAACACCUAACAUGUAAAAGAGAGAAUACCUCACCGCCGUUUACUCUUAAAGAAUUUAUUGGCACAAAGUGUUUGUGUCCUCAUGAUGUUUACACGACACAAUACUUAAAGUAACGAAAAUACGAUGAUUAAACUUAAACUACACUAUACACCUUGGUCACACCAUCGUUCGACUUGUGGGCCCCGCGACUUUAUCCAACAACUGCAACAGUAAACGUGUCAAACUUGCUCGCGAAUCAACGAACAUUAACUUACCAUACUAAUACCGGGCAUAUUUAGUACCGUGCCCAGCAGCGGCACCCUCCUCAAGAAAUUGACGGCGACUGGGAAAAAUCCGCUAAACAACAGCACAAAACCGUACGACUCGAGCAGCAUGCCGACCAGCGGCCACCCGACCAAAACUAUAA
Photinus pyralis (common eastern firefly) is the source of this 1109-nucleotide long non-coding RNA. RefSeq lists it as uncharacterized. The record is from RefSeq and is a predicted model, not a curated record. The transcript has 2 exons. Lineage: Eukaryota; Metazoa; Arthropoda; Insecta; Coleoptera; Lampyridae.